CAUAUUUUGUUAAUAUUCCGAUUCACUUAAGUGGCAUUAAAAUGUAAAUUAUUAAAUUGUAGAAAUUUUAGAAAAAAAAAAAUAUUGAAAACCUGUGCGCAAUGUGCAAAGCAGUAAUUUACGUGUCUAUUACAAAGGUUUCAUUAUAGAUUGCUCCUAUCAAAACUUUUAAAUGUUACAUACAUUGAGAAGAGGAUUAAGUAACUAUUUAUCGUCUCUACGUGAGUGAAUUUUUCAGGGAAACUUUGGAUAUGCUUUUUUAUAGAUUGAAUUUUAACUCUAUUUAUAUGAGCUGCAUUAUCUAUGUAUUGAUAAGUAAUGUAUUGGUAUUAUAUUUUGGAACUGGUGAUAUUAAAGCAGUAUAUGAUGACAUGGUAAAUCUACGGAGCCGCAGCCUCAUUUGUCAUUCAUCACGCUAAUGUAAAUGGAAACCUAUAUACAAAUGUAACUCCAAUCCAACCUGUAGAAGGGCUUACAAAGGUAAAAUGCCAUACUGUUUGGCGAAAUGAAUGUACUGGUUAAAAAAUGCGUGUCCUUGUGUAAAGCAAAACGCACAUUCAAAUAGUGGUGCGGUGGUUGGUAGGCACUAAUGUAAACUGUUUGUGGCUAGACACAAAAAAUAGACCAUGACUAUUUCCAUUGUUUUGCAUUGCCACCCGUACACUUGAAUAGGUAGGGUUACUAUUUUUUAUUUAAAAUAAUCUGACAAAACAAUACAUAUAAGAUAAAAAAAAAUAGGUGUUGACUGUUUUAGUUGUAAAAAUAUUCUUUAAAUAUAGUUCUACUAUUUGUAACAGUUUAAUAAAGUUUGAUGUACAACUUAA
Molecule: long non-coding RNA, 824 nt
Organism: Galleria mellonella (greater wax moth)
Lineage: Eukaryota; Metazoa; Arthropoda; Insecta; Lepidoptera; Pyralidae
Exons: 3
Source: RefSeq, a predicted model, not a curated record